RNAcentral lists this long non-coding RNA (1099 nucleotides) under Salmo salar (Atlantic salmon). RNAcentral's name for it is "lncRNA (ENSSSAG00000111195.1)". Lineage: Eukaryota; Metazoa; Chordata; Actinopteri; Salmoniformes; Salmonidae. The record is from RNAcentral.
GUGAGGGAACACUCGGAGCAGGGGAUAUGAGAACACUCAGAGAAGGUGAUAUGAGAACACUCAGAGAAGAUGAUUUGAGAACACUAAGAGCAGGUGAUAUGAGAACACUCAGAGAAGAUGAUUUGAGAACACUCAGAGAAGGUGACAUGAGCACACCCAGAGCAGGGGAGGGAACACUCAGAGAAGGUGAGGGAACACUCAGCUAAGGUUAUAUGAGAACACCCUGAGCAGGAGAUAUGAGAACACUCAGAGAAGGUGAUAUGAGAACACUCAGAGAAGGUGAUAUGAGAACACUCAGAGCAGGUGAGGGUACACUCAGAGCAGGUGAGGGUACACUCAGAGCAGGUGAUAUGAGAACACUGAGAGCAGGUGAGGGAACACUCAGAGCAGGUGAUAUGAGAACACUCAGAGCAGGUGAGGGAACAUUCGGAGCAGGUGAGGGUACACUCAUAGCAGGUGCUAUGAGAACACUCAGAGAAGGUGAGGGAACACUCGGAGCAGGGGAUAUGAGAACACUCAGAGAAGGUGAUAUGAGAACACUCAGAGAAGGUGGGGGAACACUCAGAGAUGGUGAUAUGAGAACACUCAGAGAAGGUGAUAUGAGAACACUCAGAGAAGGUGAUAUGAGAACACUCAGAGAAGGUGAUAUGAGAACACUCAGAGCAGGUGAUAUGAGAACACUCAGAGAAUGUGGGGGAACACUCAGAGAAGGUGAUAUGAGAACACUCAGAGAAGGUGGGGGAACACUAAGACCAGGUGAUAUGAGAACACUCAGAGCAGGUGAUAUGAGAACACUCAGAGAAGGUAUAUGAGAACAAUCAGAGCAGGUGAUAUGAGAACACUCAGAGCAGGUGAUAUGAGAACACUCAGAGAAGGUAUAUGAGAACAAUCAGAGCAGGUGAUAUAAGAACACUCAGAGAAGAUGAUUUGAGAACACUCAGAGCAGGUGAGGGAACACUCAGAGCAGGUGAGGGAACACUCAGAGCAGGUGAGGGUACACUCAUAGCAGGUGCUAUGAGAACACUCAGAGAAGGUGAGGGAACACUCGGAGCAGGGGAUAUGAGAACACUCAGAGAAGGUGAGGGAACACUCGGAGCAG